UACGUAGGGUGCGAGCGUUAAUCGGAAUUACUGGGCGUAAAGCGCGUGUAGGUGGAUUGGUGUGUCAGAUGUGAAAGCCCUGGGCUCAACCCAGGAACUGCACCUGAAACUACCAGUCUUGAGUGGUGGAGAGGGAAGUGGAAUUCCUGGUGUAGAGGUGAAAUUCGUAGAUAUCAGGAGGAACACCGGUGGCGAAGGCGGGUCUCUGGGCCGAUACUGACGCUGAGGAGCGAAAGCGUGGGGAGCGAACAGG
This 253-nucleotide ribosomal RNA is filed under the name uncultured bacterium. RNAcentral's name for it is "partial 16S ribosomal RNA". It matches the Rfam family "Bacterial small subunit ribosomal RNA", at positions 524 to 776 of the family's 1533-position model. The record is from RNAcentral.